This 263-nucleotide ribosomal RNA is filed under the name Pseudomonas libanensis. RNAcentral describes it as "partial 16S ribosomal RNA". It matches the Rfam family "Bacterial small subunit ribosomal RNA", at positions 517 to 779 of the family's 1533-position model. The record is from RNAcentral. Lineage: Bacteria; Pseudomonadati; Pseudomonadota; Gammaproteobacteria; Pseudomonadales; Pseudomonadaceae.
GCGGUAAUACAGAGGGUGCAAGCGUUAAUCGGAAUUACUGGGCGUAAAGCGCGCGUAGGUGGUUUGUUAAGUUGGAUGUGAAAUCCCCGGGCUCAACCUGGGAACUGCAUUCAAAACUGACUGACUAGAGUAUGGUAGAGGGUGGUGGAAUUUCCUGUGUAGCGGUGAAAUGCGUAGAUAUAGGAAGGAACACCAGUGGCGAAGGCGACCACCUGGACUGAUACUGACACUGAGGUGCGAAAGCGUGGGGAGCAAACAGGAUU